This 269-nucleotide unclassified non-coding RNA is filed under the name Hevea brasiliensis (rubber tree). Lineage: Eukaryota; Viridiplantae; Streptophyta; Magnoliopsida; Malpighiales; Euphorbiaceae. The record is from RNAcentral.
GUGUACUUGGCUGUUGACAUAGUUCUAACUGUACUAGUUCAGUAUACAAAAUUGGGAUCCUCUUUGUUAAGUUCACGGUUAUUCAGUCAGUAUGAAUGCCUGAAGAAGAGACUGAGCUGCCUGGGUUUCAUCUGGGGUCCCAGAGAUCACGAUAAUCCUGUCAGUUGUUCCAGGACGGGGCUCAUGUACCAUGACCCUAGCUCCUGAAAUCUGUCUUAAACGAGUCAAGUUGCUCCCGUCCUCCCCAUACACACAGCCGAUGAUGUUUU